Molecule: transfer RNA, 73 nt
Filed under: Sterkiella histriomuscorum
Lineage: Eukaryota; Ciliophora; Spirotrichea; Sporadotrichida; Oxytrichidae
Description: tRNA-Trp
Rfam family: tRNA (bases 21-73)
About the family: Transfer RNA (tRNA) molecules are approximately 80 nucleotides in length. Their secondary structure includes four short double-helical elements and three loops (D, anti-codon, and T loops).
Source: RNAcentral
AAAGGUAGGAAUGUAUGGAAGGGGGCAUGGCGUAAUUGGUAGCGCGUCUGACUCCAGAUCAGAAGGCUGGGUG